RNAcentral lists this ribosomal RNA (808 nucleotides) under Photobacterium jeanii. Its description in RNAcentral is "bacterial LSU rRNA". It matches the Rfam family "Bacterial large subunit ribosomal RNA", at positions 401 to 1211 of the family's 2925-position model. The record is from RNAcentral. Lineage: Bacteria; Pseudomonadati; Pseudomonadota; Gammaproteobacteria; Vibrionales; Vibrionaceae.
CGUGAAAACGAGUAGGACGGGACACGUGAUAUCCUGUUUGAAGAUGGGGGGACCAUCCUCCAAGGCUAAAUACUCCUGACUGACCGAUAGUGAACCAGUACCGUGAGGGAAAGGCGAAAAGAACCCCUGUGAGGGGAGUGAAAUAGAACCUGAAACCGUGUACGUACAAGCAGUAGGAGCCCACUUGUUGGGUGACUGCGUACCUUUUGUAUAAUGGGUCAGCGACUUAAUUUUAGUAGCAAGGUUAACCGUUUAGGGGAGCCGUAGGGAAACCGAGUCUUAACUGGGCGUCACAGUUGCUAGGAUUAGACCCGAAACCAGGUGAUCUAGCCAUGGGCAGGUUGAAGGUGAGGUAACACUUACUGGAGGACCGAACCGACUAAUGUUGAAAAAUUAGCGGAUGACUUGUGGCUAGGGGUGAAAGGCCAAUCAAACCUGGAGAUAGCUGGUUCUCCCCGAAAGCUAUUUAGGUAGCGCCUCGGACGAAUACUACUGGGGGUAGAGCACUGUUAAGGCUAGGGGGUCAUCCCGACUUACCAACCCUUUGCAAACUCCGAAUACCAGUAAGUACUAUCCGGGAGACACACGGCGGGUGCUAACGUCCGUCGUGGAGAGGGAAACAACCCAGACCGCCAGCUAAGGUCCCAAAGUUAUAGCUAAGUGGGAAACGAUGUGGGAAGGCUCAGACAGCCAGGAUGUUGGCUUAGAAGCAGCCAUCAUUUAAAGAAAGCGUAAUAGCUCACUGGUCGAGUCGGCCUGCGCGGAAGAUUUAACGGGGCUAAGCUAUACACCGAAGCUGCGGCAAUGC